This 259-nucleotide ribosomal RNA is filed under the name uncultured bacterium. Its description in RNAcentral is "partial 16S ribosomal RNA". It matches the Rfam family "Bacterial small subunit ribosomal RNA", at positions 96 to 354 of the family's 1533-position model. The record is from RNAcentral.
UGGCGGACGGGUGAGUAACGCGUGGGGAACCUGCCCUGUACAGGGGGAUAACACUUAGAAAUAGGUGCUAAUACCGCAUAAGCGCACAGUAUCGCAUGAUACAGUGUGAAAAACUCCGGUGGUACAGGAUGGACCCGCGUCUGAUUAGCUGGUUGGCGGGGGUAACGGCCCACCAAGGCGACGAUCAGUAGCCGGCCUGAGAGGGUGAACGGCCACAUUGGGACUGAGACACGGCCCAAACUCCUACGGAAGGCAGCAG